GCUGCCAAGACGGCACAAACAUGCCUGCGGACA
Molecule: transfer RNA, 33 nt
Filed under: Sarkidiornis melanotos (knob-billed duck)
Lineage: Eukaryota; Metazoa; Chordata; Aves; Anseriformes; Anatidae
Also listed under: 1 other name
Description: partial tRNA-Phe
Source: RNAcentral